Long non-coding RNA from Heterocephalus glaber (naked mole-rat), 3772 nucleotides. RefSeq lists it as uncharacterized. Lineage: Eukaryota; Metazoa; Chordata; Mammalia; Rodentia; Bathyergidae. The record is from RefSeq and is a predicted model, not a curated record.
GGGUGGCGCAGGAAGAAGGCGCAGAAGGUGGGGGGAGGCGCGCGGAGGCGGCACUCCGUGGGGCAGUGGCCCGGCGGCCGACCCGCUGGGGUCUCGGCCUGGCGCUGCGGGGGUCUGGUCGUGAGGCCAGGAAGGCGGAGGGGCAAGUUAGUCCGCAGGUUGGUCCUCGAGGCGGGCGGCUACCCGGCGGGCCUUCGGGGAGCCAGGAGAACCGCGACUGGGACCGGGCGGCCACUCGUUCAUUCCUUCAACAAGAACAGGCUUCCAGAGGACACAGAUCCACAGGGGGGCUGUCAGAGCCCCAGACAGGCAGCCGGAAGCUCAGGCAGGUCCCGUCCUCCACGCGGCUGCAUGUGGAUGAGGGGAAAAGGAAGUGGGGUCCGGGAAGCCGCCUCUGCCUGGCUUCCCUUCCUUCAGCUUCGGACACUGGCCUUCUCCUGUUCUUCACUGCCUCCAGUGUCUUGAGGUACACCGCUGUGCAUUUCUCUUCUGUGAUUCUUUUGGUUGCAAGUGACAGCCAGUUCUGUCUGGCUCUCACAAAUGAGAGAAUUUAUUGACUCAGGAGACUAAUAAGUCUCAAGCUCUUCUUUUCCCCUGUUCCAUUUGCCUGGGCCAGUGCCCACUCCACUGGACCACUUACCAUCCUGGCCCUCGGACUGGUCCUUCUGACCUGAGCCAACCUGGAGCUGGUGGGCACAGAGGUGCAACUUUUUGCCUGCCUAGCAGCAAAGACAAGAGGCCUCCUCUCUGGGAUAGGGAAAUUAGCCUGUGGAGAAUUCAUCUCCAGGUCUUGGUUCAACUCCCUGCAGCCUCCAGACAAGAGAGGGCAGGGGAGCCCCUCCAAAAUAGUUUCCCUGGUCCAGGCCUGUUCCACCAAGUUUCCCACAGACUUUACCGGAUCGCCUUACCCGUGAUUACCCUGGGAGUGUUCCAGGGGGCACACUCACCUGUGGUGACCUGAGAGACUCAGAGCCCAGGCUGCCUUCCAGCAGCCUCUGGGCUGGGCCUGCCUCUCCACCUGGCAGCUGGGCAGGAGGCCGGAACAGAAGGCUGCAGAGAGAAGAGGCCCAUCAGAACACCCGCCUUCCUGAAAAUGAACACGCAUCCCACAUGGCACCUAACACUGAGAAAAGACACUGUGGCUGGUGGCAGGUCUGGGCAGGAUUGCCUAGGAAUGGGGGACGAGGGAGAGCCCAUGAGGCCUGCCUGCUCCUGCCUUGCACCUCCAGGGACAAGUUCCUGCCUUUUCAGCUCAUGGAAGGAAGUCCUAGCCCCAGGGGAGACUUCACCAGCCACCACUGAGGCCUUUCCGACUUAGGUAGCAGCCCCUUUUAAUAGUGUGUGUGUGAGCCAGAUGUCAUGGCGCACGCCUGUGAUCCCAGCACUCGGGAGGAUGAGGCAGGAGGAUUACCGUGAGUUUGGGGCAAGCCUGGGCUAUAUAGUGAGUUCAGGGCCAGCCUGGACUACAAAGGGAGACCCUGCCUCAAGAAAACAAAUGACAAAAAAAAUAGUGUGGGGGGAUGGGUACCAAGGGUAGGCACUCAGGUCCUGGGAGUGGACAGGCAGGCUGCAGGGCUGAGUGUCCACAGACUGCCCGACACCGGCUUGAGGUGGCACCUUGAGGCUGCUCUGGCCAAAACCCUGUGAGUUUUGGAGAGAUUCAAGCCCUUUGCAGACUCUAUCUUGUUCCUGCCUCUCUGGCUCUGUUAGACUGGGCAGUGGGGUUGACUGGGCUCUCCCCACACCCCUCUCCUGCAAGACUGCCAGCCGCCACGCCCUUCCAGACCCUCUGCCUCUCCCCAGAUUAGCGUCCUGUUCUUCAGGCUCUGUGGUGGGGACAGGGGCGGAGUUCACAGUCCAGGUUCCCGGGUGGGGCUUGGAGGUGGUUUCUGCAAAUGAGCAGCUCCUCUCGGGAAUCACCCAGCACAGAGACAGACGGGAACCCAUACGCUCAGCUUUCGAUCUGUUUUAUGACUGUCCUUCCUUGGCUGGCAUGGUGUUAGCAAGGGGGACUGUAGCCAUGGAGAUCUGUGGCCCCCAGCUCUGAACCUGAGAGUCCACUGCCCCUUGUUCCAGCCUCGGACCCUACACACACAGAGUGGUGAGCUGGGGGCAGAGGCAGGAAUGACCUCAUACCUAGACCUGACCCCCGAGCUCCGAUGCUGACCCCAGGUCAGCAGCACUGGUGGGCAGCAUGGGGGACAGGCUAGGGACGGGGAGCACCAUCAUGCAAUGUCUCCAGCAGCUUAUUUUUAGUUGUGUUAUGUAAGUGGCUUCAUCUCAACGUCACGUAGGAAGGGGGGGGUCUCAGAUUUAAUUACAGGAUGACAGCCUUUGCCUUUGAAGCAAGCUGUUCUCCUGGCAAGGCAGGCACAAGGAUUGUGAGUUUUUGCUCAACACGAGUCCAUCCAGCAAAACUUUAACCUGUUUUCACCGCUCUCCCUGUCUCUCUGACCUCCUCACCUGGCUCUGGCUGAGCUGGCCUGAGAGGGUGGCCCUUGGUCUGAGAACCCGGAACAGCCUGUUCCGGUCAAGGGAGCACUCUGCACCCCCUUCCUUGGCAGCUUCACUGUCUCUCCAAGGGAAGGAGCCACCCAGGCAGAGCUCCUCCUCCUUCUUUCCCCAGACCUGGACUGAAGCUCUUGUAAUCAUAACCAGAAAGUUCCGGAGCAGAAGAGAAUGGAAGGCACAGGAGCCGGGUUCACUCAGGCUUCCGGGACAGUGUUGGGAGGGCCGGGUGUGUGCUCUCUGCUGUCCCUGGCCUUGCUGCCUGCUCCCUCCCAGCACUCCUGGUCCCUGGAAGGUAACUGUGCACACUGCAUGGGACACUGCUCUCCUGGUUCCCGGAGAAGCUGAACAGCUCACUGCCUGCUUUAUGCCCUGGGAGGGGAGCUACCCAGUUGGGAGUCCUGCUCCCUGCCUGCACAGGAGCCAUCUUGGCCCCUUUGUCCAGUGUGUAGAGUAGGACCAUGGUUCCAUGGCAAGCUGUCACCUACAGGGGUGAGGAGAGGGUGAGAUCUACUCUGCAGGGGUACAGGGGGGAUGCAGCUUGGGAAGCAGGCUUGCGGGGAGAAGAAGGUUGGGGAGAGUUAGUUCUAGGAGCUUGUCACUCCCUCUCCUUUGUGGGCAAGAUGGGGCUCCCAUGGUUGCUGGGCAGGUUUCACAGACUCUCCGAGUGGCCAUGAAUGGAGGUUAGGGUUAGGCUGCAAAGCGAUGUUGGGAGGAGCCAAGGCUCUCAGAGACCCUGGCCUGGUGAGUGCUGAGCCCUCAAUAUGUUUUAGAGAGCGCUGCUGCUGUUAGGUUGGAUGGGACAUCUCCAGAGAGUGCCCAAGUGCUGCCCAGAAAGUCCCAUUUGUUAGAGGCUGCCCUUUAAAAAGUGAGGGUGCCUGAGGCAGUGGAGCCCACUCCCUCCUUACCUGCGGGCUGUGUGUAAGCAUUCUUCCGAGAGCACACUAAGGAAGGGGGAAAGAGCAGCUUCCUAGCCAGGAACCUCACCACCAUCUGCUCGGUGGCAAGACCAACACCACUGAGAGGUCAUGGAGACAUCAGGCUCUGGAUGCGAUAGGACCUGUGGACGCUCUGCCUCUGAUCUUCCUCUCCAAACCCAUCUGAUGGUGAGAGAAACAUCACAACUGUCAAGGUCAUCAAAGACAAAAGAAGUCUGAGAAACUGCAGCCAAGAGGAGACAGGACAACUGAAGGUCACAUGGGAGCUUGUGUGGGACCCUGGACAGGACACUGGAGAAGUCUGAAUAAACUUGUCUUAGUGAUAA